AUGCGGCAGUCGUACUCUGUUCUGUAGGGUCACUAUGAGUUGGAAUCUGCUUGAUGGCAACAGAAAUUUCCUGGCUAUUACUGUUUAUUUUUUCAUACAAACUUUAGAAUGACCUUAUUCUUUCUGGAAAAAAAAAAAUGACUUCGUUUGGGAUGCCAUUUACAAAUUAACUUAGAGAAGAUUGUCUUUAUGGUGAGUUUUCCUAUCUAAGAACAUAGUAUGCUUUUCUAUCUGUUCAGGUUGUCUUUCAUGCCCUUUAGACAUGUUUUAAAAGUCUUCUUCAUAUGAUCCUUGCAUAUUUCUCAUUAGAUGCUAUUCUUUCUAAUUCUGUUAUGGCUCAGCACAUGUGAUGCUGAGAAAGAAGGACUUGUAGCUGCUUUAACCCUGAUUCUACCUCUAGAUUCCUGCAAGAUUAGAAGAAAUAGACAGAUGAUGCAAUAAGAAGGCAGGUAAAAAUCAGGGGACAGGUAGGUAGAUGUAGCAUUUGGGUACUAACUAGCUUUUGCUAUCCUGUCCAUUAGAAAGCCACCAGAUUUGUCUGGCACACACAGCAUAGGAAAAGCACAAUGUAUAAAGAUAUGCCUUGGAUGGCAGGACCAUUAUCAUUUAAAAACAGAAAAGAAAUGCAGCUAAGAGUUUUUAUUCAUAGGCUUUGCUGCAUCUGUCCUAAAUAACAGUGACUUUAGUGACUUUCUCACACAAACGAGUUCUGAUUAUAGGAACUUCCAACAUUGGUAUGGUAAUUCCAUAAAUAAGUGGUCCAGACUCCUUAUUUCUUUUUCCUGUGCUAUUCUUAGAAUGUGGUUUCCAUUCUCAAGUUUGCCUUGUGGUUCAAGAUGGCUGCUAACAUUCUCGCUGUGUCCACAUUUCAGGCAAAAAAAAAGGGAUCAGGGCAAAAAGUGAGUGCCUCCAAGCUAAUUCAACCCUCUUCUAAGACCUUUUCAGAAGCUCCACACUUUCUCGUUUCACCUCAUUAUAUCUGUAUAAGAGGCUGCUCCCAAAUAAGGAUUUUGUUACUACGGAAGAAAGAGACAGUGGAUAUCACGGAGGCAACUUCUUGUCCCCAUCAUAAGAAGUAAACAUAUUUUCAUUUUCUCUUCUAAGUGUGUUGAGAAGGAAGAAGGAAAAUACCAAGAAGGAAAUAUGAAAGUGAUUAUUUCUCACACGUUUAGGGUAAUUUAAGACGACCUAGUGUUCAGCAGGAAACAAACCCUGGUGGUGUAGUGGUUAAGCACUACGGCUGCUAACCAAAAUCUGGCAGUUUGAAUCCACUAGGCACUCCUUGGAAACUCUAUGGGGCAGUUCUACUCUGUCCUGUAGGGUCGCUAUGAGUCGGAAUUGACUCAACGGCAACAGGUUUUUUAGUGUUCAGCAAAACCUGAACAGGAAAUCAUUGCUUUGGUUGUGUAGUUUUUUGACUCCAAAAUGUUUUGAAGACUAAUUGAACCACACAUCCUCUUUUUCUUCCUCAGAGUUGAGGAACCCCAGUGAGGAAUUAAAAUACAGUCCCCAAACGGUACAGUUGUACAGUUUGAUUAAAAUGUCGUCCCUGCCUUUGGCAACGACAAUCUAGUGUGGGAGGUAGAUAAAUAAAGAGAUGCUCUAGUUCGGGCUGAUGAGUGAUCUGAGAGAGGUGAGCACAGGCUGAAAGGAAGUACGUAAUAGAAGCACCUGACCAAGGGUGAUGGGAAAGUGGUAUCAGGAAGGGAUUGUUGUUAGCUGCCAUCGAGUGGGCUCCAACUCACGACGACCUUAGGUGUAACAGAACAAAACAUUGCCUGGUCCAAUGCCGUCUUCAUGGUCACUGGUAUGUUUGAGUCCACUGUUUUGGUUAUUGUGUCAGUCCAUCUCACUGAGAUGUUUUUGGUCAGGAAUGGGAGGGAGUGAUGAAACUUGAGCUGAGUUCUGAAGGACAAGUUGCCACGUAAGGUGUGAAUAGACAGAGGGGAAGAGGAGGAGGUGGUGGGAAGAUAGAAUUAGUUGGCUAGAGAGAAAAGCUGGUGAGCAGAAAACUUGCCCAGGAGGAGAGCAGCAUAUGUGAAGUCUUGAAAGUGAAAGAGAGCACAGUUCCUUUAAGAACUUUGUCAGGUCUUACAUCUAUCCUCAAUUAAGAAAGAGAUGAGGGUGAAGAGGACCAAACUAAUUAAUUUUUACUUUAUCCUUCAGUGCAAGAGUCAUUGAAGGAUUUGAAGCAGAGAAGCGAUGUGCUCAGAUUUGCAUUUUAGAAAGAUUAUUUUAGAGGCACAGUGAGAAUGGAUUGGAAGUCAGCAAAAUCCAAGAAAAGGGGCAGUAUAAUCCAGACAAGAAAUAAUGAGGGCCAGAACAGUUUGAGAGUGGGAGUGACUUUUGAGUAAUUAAGAGAGAAGAUCUCCAGGCCUUGGAACUGAAUGAAUCAGGAAGUGAGAAAAAUGGGGCAAAUAAAGGAAGAUGAUUUCUGGUCUGCUAUUAUGGAUUGAAUUGUUUCCCACCAAAGUAUGUGUUGUAACCCUAACCCCUAUAACUAUGGAUGUAAUCCCAUUUGGGAGUAGGGAUUUGUUAUGUUAAUGAGGCCAUAUCGGUGUUGGGUGUGUCUUGAGCCAAUCAGUUUUGAGAUAUAAAAGAGCAGAUUAGGCAUAGAAGAAAGCAAGCACAAAUGGGAAAAGAUUGAUACCACAUGGAAAUCACCAAGGAACCGAGGAAGAGAAGCUGAAAGAGACAAAGAUGUUUCUCCAGAACUGACAGAGAGAGCCGUCCCCUAGUGCCGGCACCCUGAAUUUGGAUUUCUAGCCUCCUAAACUGUAACAAAAUAAAUUUCUGUUCACUAAAGCCAUGCACUUACAGUAUUUCUGUUAUAGCAGCAGUAGGUAACUAAGAAACCUGGGCAAACUGUGAAAAACACUGUUAUUCAUUAACAUAUGGAAAACAGAGGGGAGAUAGAUUUUGUAGAGAAAAUAAGAUACUCAGUUUUAUGUGGGAUAAGUUUAAGGUGCUAAUGGGACAUAUCUGUGGAAUUAUACAGGGUUCGAAAUUUGGGAAAAGAACUGAGCAGGAGAAAUGAAUUUAAAGGCAGUUCAAGCCAUGUGACUAAACCAGGAUGAGUAGGUAGAGUGAAAAUAGGAGACAAUUUUGAGUACCACAACACUUAAGAAGAGGAAGAUGAAUGAAUAAAAGAUCCAGAGAAGGAGCAGAAAACAUGUGGAAGUAAAACAAGAUGAGAGUAGCAUUGUGGAAACCAAGGAAGGCAUUUCAGAUGCUACAGAUAUCAAGAAGAUUAAGAGCUGAAAUAGCCGUUGAGUUUAGCAAUAUAAACAUCACUGAGGACCAGUGCAGGGUAGCUUUGGUGGGAUGGUGGGAGCAGAAGUCAGAUUAUAGUGGGACAAGGAGUGAAUAUCUAAGGAGGAAGAUAAAUGUAAAAUGCUUUCAAACAGUGAUGCUCAUUGGAUUAGGGAGAAGCAUACAGCUUUUUAAAGAUGAAGUGUCUCGCGCAAGUUUAAAUGCUGAUGGGAAAGAGCCAUUAAAAGGUGGGAGGUGAUAUAGGCAAGAGGGGAUAAUCAAGGCAAGCCUCUGAGAACUCAGAAGCAAGAGUAAUCCAGAGCACAUAUGAAAGGAUUAACUUUGAAGGAGGAGGAACAGAUCUUUCAGUAGAGUGGAGGAAAGGAAACCUGGAUAGAUAUGACUAAGAGGUUUAUAGUGGGAAGAGGGCAUCAAAGAGAGUCACAAUAGUUUCUAAUGGCUAAUUGAGGAGAGAACUAAGAACAGAUUUUGAGUCAACCCUACAGCCCUGUGAGGAUGGACACCUCAAUUUGUAGUUCCUUCAAUCACGGGCUGUCAUUUUCUCCUGUAGUGCUUAGCAAUUCAGGUGUAAGGUGGCCCUCGUGCACAAUUUGAUUCUUUCAGGGUUGAAGUUCUCCUAAUGGGUAUGAAAGGAGGAAAAAUAGACCAGGAAAGACAAGGGCCUUGUUGGUUUGGACAGUAAAGUUCUUAGAUUGGAAAGGAAGAGAAGAGUAAAAGAGACCAAUUGAGGAGAAAUCUGUAAGGAUGGACAUGAGAUUAGAUCUUGUUGAUAUUCUAAAAUUAAUCAUAAUCAAAAUGAGGACAACUGGAAGUUUGAUUAUAGAGGGGGCUUUGCAGUACUAUGAUUCCUCUGUCAAGUUCAAGAUUGACAACGAUAUUUAAGUGAAUGUUAAAUUGUCAUAACUUCCUCCACAAUAAUUUUGCCUCGUGAAUUAUCAAUUAUUAUCAUAAGAUACUGAUAUUUUAUUUAAAAUAUUUUCUAAAGUGCUUAACAUAUAAAAUAUUGUUUUAGUAGGCCCAGUAACUGUGGAAUUAUGAAAAUGAGGCAUUAAAGUAUAGCUCAUUUCAUUUGAUGUUUAAGAUUCUUAGUUGUGCUGUGGUUUAGUGUCCCUCUUUUAUACCCACUUAAGAUAAAUAUUUUUUAUUUACAAGUGAUCAUUUGCACUUUAGAUGUUUUCUAAUGAUAUAUUUCAAAGACUGGAUUGGACCCAUUGUUAUAAUAGAUUAUUUCCAGUAUUUCUCUUAGAAUAGUGAUUCUUUUUGUUAUAGAAUGGGAUGUUCUUGGUUAAAAAAAAAAAAAAAA
Trichechus manatus latirostris (Florida manatee) is the source of this 4576-nucleotide long non-coding RNA. RefSeq lists it as uncharacterized. The transcript is spliced from 2 exons. NCBI's taxonomy places the organism in Eukaryota, Metazoa, Chordata, Mammalia, Sirenia, Trichechidae. The record is from RefSeq and is a predicted model, not a curated record.